This 490-nucleotide ribosomal RNA is filed under the name uncultured bacterium. RNAcentral's name for it is "partial 16S ribosomal RNA". It matches the Rfam family "Bacterial small subunit ribosomal RNA", at positions 30 to 507 of the family's 1533-position model. The record is from RNAcentral.
AUUGAACGCUGGCGGCAUGCCUUACACAUGCAAGUCGAACGGCAGCAUGAUCUAGCUUGCUAGAUUGAUGGCGAGUGGCGAACGGGUGAGUAAUACAUCGGAACGUGCCCUGUAGUGGGGGAUAUCUAGUCGAAAGAUUAGCUAAUACCGCAUACGACCUGAGGGUGAAAGUGGGGGACCGCAAGGCCUCAUGCUAUAGGAGCGGCCGAUGUCUGAUUAGCUAGUUGGUGAGGUAAAGGCUCACCAAGGCGACGAUCAGUAGCUGGUCUGAGAGGACGAUCAGCCACACUGGGACUGAGACACGGCCCAGACUCCUACGGGAGGCAGCAGUGGGGAAUUUUGGACAAUGGGCGAAAGCCUGAUCCAGCAAUGCCGCGUGUGUGAAGAAGGCCUUCGGGUUGUAAAGCACUUUUGUCCGGAAAGAAAUGGCUCUGGUUAAUACCUGGGGUCGAUGACGGUACCGGAAGAAUAAGGACCGGCUAACUACGUG